CUGGUCUGAGAGGAUGAUCAGUCACACUGGAACUGAGACACGGUCCAGACUCCUACGGGAGGCAGCAGUAGGGAAUAUUGCGCAAUGGGGGAAACCCUGACGCAGCAACGCCGCGUGGAGGAUGACACUUUUCGGAGCGUAAACUCCUUUUCUUAGGGAAGAAUUCUGACGGUACCUAAGGAAUAAGCACCGGCUAACUCCGUGCCAGCAGCCGCGGUAAUACGGAGGGUGCAAGCGUUACUCGGAAUCACUGGGCGUAAAGGGCGCGUAGGCGGAUUAUCAAGUCUCUUGUGAAAUCUAAUGGCUUAACCAUUAAACUGCUUGGGAAACUGAUAGUCUAGAGUGAGGGAGAGGCAGAUGGAAUUGGUGGUGUAGGGGUAAAAUCCGUAGAUAUCACCAAGAAUACCCAUUGCGAAGGCGAUCUGCUGGAACUCAACUGACGCUAAGGCGCGAAAGCGUGGGGAGCAAACAGGAUUAGAUACCCUGGUAGUCCACGCCCUAAACGAUGUACACUAGUUGUUGGGGUGCUAGUCAUCUCAGUAAUGCAGCUAACGCAUUAAGUGUACCGCCUGGGGAGUACGGUCGCAAGAUUAAAACUCAAAGGAAUAGACGGGGACCCGCACAAGCGGUGGAGCAUGUGGUUUAAUUCGAAGAUACGCGAAGAACCUUACCUGGGCUUGAUAUCCUAAGAACCUUUUAGAGAUAAGAGGGUGCUAGCUUGCUAGAACUUAGAGACAGGUGCUGCACGGCUGUCGUCAGCUCGUGUCGUGAGAUGUUGGGUUAAGUCCCGCAACGAGCGCAACCCACGUAUUUAGUUGCUAACGGUUCGGCCGAGCACUCUAAAUAGACUGCCUUCGUAAGGAGGAGGAAGGUGUGGACGACGUCAAGUCAUCAUGGCCCUUAUGCCCAGGGCGACACACGUGCUACAAUGGCAUAUACAAUGAGACGCAAUACCGCGAGGUGGAGCAAAUCUAUAAAAUAUGUCCCAGUUCGGAUUGUUCUCUGCAACUCGAGAGCAUGAAGCCGGAAUCGCUAGUAAUCGUAGAUCAGCCAUGCUACGGUGAAUACGUUCCCGGGUCUUGUACUCACCGCCCGUCACACCAUGGGAGUUGAUUUCACUCGAAGCCGGAAUACUAAACUAGUUACCGUCCACAGUGGAAUCAGCGACUGGGGUGAAGUCGUAACAAGGUAACCGUAGGAGAACCUGCGGUUGGAUCACCUCCUUUCUA
Molecule: ribosomal RNA, 1229 nt
Filed under: Campylobacter coli
Lineage: Bacteria; Pseudomonadati; Campylobacterota; Epsilonproteobacteria; Campylobacterales; Campylobacteraceae
Also listed under: 1 other name
Description: bacterial SSU rRNA
Rfam family: Bacterial small subunit ribosomal RNA
Source: RNAcentral